GGAAUCUUGAGCAAUGGGCGGCAGCCUGACUCAGUGAUGUUAUGUGGGUGAUGAAGGUUUUCGGAUCGUAAAACUCUGUUGUAAGGGAAGAACAAGUACGAGAGGUAAUGCUCGUACCUUGACGGUACCUUGCAAGAAAGCCACGGCUAACUACGUGCCAGCAGCCGCGGUAAUACGUAGGUGGCAAGCGUUGUCCGGAAUUAUUGGGCGUAAAGCGCGCGCAGGCGGCCUUUUAAGUCUGAUGUGAAAGCCCCCGGCUCAACCGGGGAGGGUCAUUGGAAACUGGAAGGCUUGAGUACAGAAGAGAAGAGUGGAAUUCCAUGUGUAGCGGUGAAAUGCGUAGAGAUGUGGAGGAACACCAGUGGCGAAGGCGACUCUUUGGUCUGUAACUGACGCUGAGGCGCGAAAGCGUGGGGAGCAAACAGGAUUAGAUACCCUUG
This 440-nucleotide ribosomal RNA is filed under the name uncultured Exiguobacterium sp. RNAcentral's name for it is "bacterial SSU rRNA". It matches the Rfam family "Bacterial small subunit ribosomal RNA", at positions 358 to 790 of the family's 1533-position model. Lineage: Bacteria; Bacillati; Bacillota; Bacilli; Caryophanales. The record is from RNAcentral.